GCAGAUGUGGCGGAAUGGCAGACGCGUACGGUUCAGGGCCGUAUGGACUUUAAACGUCCGUAGAGGUUCAAGUCCUCUCAUCUGCA
This is a non-coding RNA of Candidatus Woesebacteria bacterium RBG_13_46_13, 86 nucleotides long. NCBI's taxonomy places the organism in Bacteria, Candidatus Woeseibacteriota. The record is from Rfam.